ACUCAAAGGAAUUGACGGGGGCCCGCACAAGCGGUGGAUCAUGUGGUUCAAUUCGACGCUACGCGAAGAACCUUACCUGGGCUCGAACGACUAGUGGUACCCUUUAUGAAAGUAGAGGGGACCCGCAAGGGAGCUAGCCGAGGUGCUGCAUGGUUGUCGUCAGCUCGUGUCGUGAGAUGUUGGGUUAAGUCCCGCAACGAGCGCAACCCCUGUCCUGUGUUGCUACUCCGCAAGGAGAGGACUCUCAGGAGACUGCCGUGGAUAACACGGAGGAAGGUGGGGAUGACGUCAAAUCAUCAUGGCCUUUAUGUCCAGGGCUACACACGUGAUACAAUGGUACAGACAGAGGGCUGCAAGACCGUAAGGUGGAGCCAAUCCCUAAACUGUAUCCCAGUUCAGAUCGAGGGCUGCAAUUCGCCCUCGUGAAGUUGGAAUCGCUAGUAAUCGCAGAUCAGCAGGCUGCGGUGAAUACGUUCCCGGGCCUUGUACACACCGCCCGU
This 500-nucleotide ribosomal RNA is filed under the name uncultured bacterium. RNAcentral's name for it is "bacterial SSU rRNA". It matches the Rfam family "Bacterial small subunit ribosomal RNA", at positions 899 to 1397 of the family's 1533-position model. The record is from RNAcentral.